GCCCGCCCGGGGCGAGCCCUGCAGUCGAGGCCCCGGAGUGGAAUCUGUGAAUGAGGUUACGAGCCGUCUACGCGUAAGCGGCGUCGUUGGCGUCUCCCGACUCGUCUUGAAGACUUUUCGUUUGUUCUUCAACACACUCUAAAGAACUUGUUUGCCAGCACUGCUCGCACCAGAGACACGGCCAAGAGCCAGAUGCAAACAUAGUUACCACCCCAAUGUGGCUCCAGCUGUGGUGGAAAGCAAGAGGAUCUACUUUAGGGGGUGACAAUCAAGCCGACUGGAAGGCCUGAGUAGGAUCCAAACAGGAAGAUUUGGAGAAAAGUCGCCUGGGGACAGAGGACGGCAAGAGUACAGGUCUGGUAGUCAGGACCACCCUGGUAGCUGGAUAGAAUCAGGGUAUAACCAACAGUGGUACCCUCAGAAGUAUGGCUGGAGGUCUAUGAGAUAUAUCAAACGGAGAAGAUCUUGUAGGUGGUAAGAAUUUCAGUGAUACUGUAAUUUGUAAUUUGGGAGCCACAAACAGAGAAAUAAGUCUGGAAGAACUCACUCAAGCUAAACCUAUACAGAAAAGGGAAUGAGGCCCAGGGCAGGAACUACCCGUGUUUUCCUCCUUUCCAGCUCUCCCACCAGGCAUCCUGGUAUUGGUCUGCACACCCCUUCUUUUCCCACACUCUACUGUGGGUCCUGAGCCAGCACUGCAUGAAUGUUGAGCUGACCACAAAGCGCUGUUAUCCUCUGCCCCUGGCCAGAGGACCUGUCAUAUUGGCUUGGCACACACCCAGGAGCUCAGUGCUGCUGGGAACUGAGCGUCUGAAAGCAGAAGCAACCGAUCCUUCCUGGCACAGAAGUCAGCCCAGGCUCUAUGCCAGUCCACAGAGCUGAGAUCCCACCAUCCCCCACCCCUCACCCUUCAGGACGGUUUAGUCCUGCCCACUGCUCCUCCUUGGUUACAGCUUCAAGCAUCCAAAAGCUUCGCACCGCCUUCAGCCUCAUAAGUUGGGGGCGGCCCAAUUAAGAAACUUCAUGGCAACUUCAAAGCCAAGGAAGCAGGCCUGAAAAGGGGUUGGAAGGAAGAGAUAAGCUAGCAGAAGAUGUGACUAUUUACAGAGACCCCUAGCACCAUGCCUGACUGGUCCUAUAAGAACUCCUCCAGAACCUCACUUCCACCCAGAUCAGAAAAUCAAGUAGUGCUUUCUCAUUUCUAAGAGGAGAACAAAAUACAUAUCCCACAAAUGCCCACUUAUGACAUGGUCAGGUCUGGAAAUCAAAGCCUGUAGCCUCAGAGAAUCCCAAGUUCAGAUCAUCCUAACAGCUUGAGGAAUGGCAGCAAAUAAGGAAGCUCUGGAUGAGGACAGGAUCUGGGAAAACUGGGUCCCUAAUCCAAUCCAAGGAGCAGAUGAAAGUCAGUCUACCUGCACCCUAGUUCUGAGCCCUGAAAGGAAAGCACAAUCCCUGCCAGCCACUUACCGCAUUGGCUGGGAAGGCUCGGAUCAUCACAGCAUUGAAGCCCUUGUACAAGGACGUGACUCCUUCAUUCCGGAUCAGCUCCCUCAGCACAUCUUGGAAACCAUUAGGAUAUUUCCCAGGAGGUGCUGUGGACAGAACCCAACUUUUAAGGCUUCAGGAAGUUUCUAAUCUCACCAUGAUGACCCACACAGGGAAAACCUAAGUCUUUCUACAAUGUAACAGCAUCAGGAAGAGGACACCUUGCAAGUCAUCUAGGAGCAGAUCUCAGACAACAUAGUUUGUUGUCAGAUACAACAUAGUUUGGGACAGAUACAAAUGCCUGGAUUACUGGUGAUGAGGAUGGAGAAGGAAAUAAUCUUUCUGCUCAUGUGGCAAAAGGAAAAUGAAUUUGACUUGUCAUCUCAAUUUAUUUUGUAUUUAGGCCAAGAUGAAAAUGAGUGUAGCGUUCCUAGAACACAAAUGACUAUGAGGGAGAAUGCUGACCAGACAGAUGCUGAGGGCUGCCACAGAAAAUGUGUUUGCGGAGGGCCUUAAGAGCUCUCUACCCCAGGGGCAACCUGUUUAGGGACCUACUCCAUCCCCACCCCUAUCUACCCUACAAUCCCCUCCACUCACCAGUCUGGAAGCGGGACUUGAGCACAUCUGGAGGGAUAGCCACAGCCCAGUUGAAGAUUCCUGCAAUGCCCCCAGCUGUGAGGAUUCGAGGCACGCUGAGCUCAUUGACACUGCAGAAUACCAACCAGAGCCCCAGUCAGACAAAGGCUGCGAGACAGGCAUCAGACCAUCCCUCCUGUGUCAGACAAGGCAGUUACAGAGAUGGAGAAACUAGCUGGAGGGAGGAGGUCCAAGGUCAGAGAUCCUGUGACAUGGCGGCUCCCACUCCUUGGAGAAGGUUUCAAGCACUCAUUUCAAAUACUUGCCUUAUUGGGUGAGGCACAGAGUAAGCAAUAUUUGCUGGAUAUCAGCAGCAAUGAAAGAAAAGUCUAUAUGGAGCCAGAAGCAUGUCCUAUUCUGCCUUCAGACCCACUCACAGGAAAGGGCAACCUACUCAUGACUGGGCCAAGAGGUUUCUAAGUUCUUCUGUUUUCCUCACCUCUUUCCCUCUGGAGUGAAGAUAUUUUUCAACCACUCAUAUGUCAUGAAAUACAUCCCACUUGCUGGAACAUCUGUUAGUAGCAAGAAAGAGGUGAAUUAAAUGACAUAAAGUUAUAUAGACUAUAUAAGUUCAG
Long non-coding RNA from Talpa occidentalis (Iberian mole), 2696 nucleotides. RefSeq lists it as uncharacterized. NCBI's taxonomy places the organism in Eukaryota, Metazoa, Chordata, Mammalia, Eulipotyphla, Talpidae. The transcript has 3 exons. The record is from RefSeq and is a predicted model, not a curated record.